AAUAGAUACCCGGGUAGUCCACGCCCUAAACGAUGCUCACUAGGUGUUGGGGAAGCGAUUCCUUGGUACCGUAGCUAACGCGUGAAGUGAGCCGCCUGGGGAGUACGGCCGCAAGGUUAAAACUCAAAGGAAUUGACGGGGACCCGCACAAGCGGUGGAUGAUGUGGAUUAAUUCGAUGCAACGCGAACAACCUUACCUACCCUUGACAUGUCGCGAAUCCUGCUGAGAGGCGGGGGUGCCCGAAAGGGAACGCGAACACAGGUGCUGCAUGGCUGUCGUCAGCUCGUGUCGUGAGAUGUUGGGUUAAGUCCCGCAACGAGCGCAACCCUUGUCCCUAGUUGCUACGCAAGGGCACUCUAGGGAGACUGCCGGUGACAAACCGGAGGAAGGUGGGGAUGACGUCAAGUCCUCAUGGCCCUUAUGGGUAGGGCUUCACACGUCAUACAAUGGACGGUACAGGGGGUUGCCAACCCGCGAGGGGAGCCAAUCCCUACAAAGCCGUUCGUAGUCCGGAUUGCAGUCUGCAACUCGACUGCAUG
This 540-nucleotide ribosomal RNA is filed under the name uncultured bacterium. RNAcentral's name for it is "bacterial SSU rRNA". It matches the Rfam family "Bacterial small subunit ribosomal RNA", at positions 777 to 1322 of the family's 1533-position model. The record is from RNAcentral.